RNAcentral lists this transfer RNA (76 nucleotides) under Caldifarciminota bacterium. RNAcentral describes it as "candidate division WOR-3 bacterium (hot springs metagenome) tRNA-Glu". It matches the Rfam family "tRNA". From Rfam's summary of the family: Transfer RNA (tRNA) molecules are approximately 80 nucleotides in length. The record is from RNAcentral. Lineage: Bacteria; Pseudomonadati; Caldifarciminota.
GGCGCCAUCGUCUAACUUGGUUUAGGACAUCGCCCUCUCAAGGCGAAGAUUACGGGUUCAAAUCCCGUUGGCGCCA